RNAcentral lists this ribosomal RNA (328 nucleotides) under uncultured eukaryote. Its description in RNAcentral is "partial 18S ribosomal RNA". It matches the Rfam family "Eukaryotic small subunit ribosomal RNA", at positions 1470 to 1796 of the family's 1831-position model. The record is from RNAcentral.
CCCUUAGAUGUUCUGGGCCGCACGCGCGCUACACUGACCAGUGCAACAAGCAUCCGUCCUUGGCCGACAGGCCCGGGCAAUCUUUGAACGCUGGUCGUGAUGGGGAUAGACUUUUGCAAUUUUUGGUCUUCAACGAGGAAUUCCUAGUAAACGCAAGUCAUCAACUUGCAUUGAUUACGUCCCUGCCCUUUGUACACACCGCCCGUCGCUCCUACCGAUUGAAUGGUCCGGUGAAGCGUUCGGACCGUGGCCUUUGGACGGUUCGCCGUCUGUUGGCUGCGGGAAGUUCGUUAAACCUUAUCAUUUAGAGGAAGGAGAAGUCGUAACA